Molecule: long non-coding RNA, 1465 nt
Filed under: Capra hircus (goat)
Lineage: Eukaryota; Metazoa; Chordata; Mammalia; Artiodactyla; Bovidae
Description: lncRNA (ENSCHIG00000000959.1)
Source: RNAcentral
GACAAGGAUGAAUACAAGUGUGUCGCCAAUCAACUGAUGAUUAGCUUGGUGCAAACCUGUCUGUGCUGCCUAGUCUCCAUUUUUCUCUCCAGUCCCAUUCUCUCCCGUCCUCUGCAUAUCUGGGGAGACUGACCUACAGCCUGGUGGCCUCCAGUUGGGACUGACCAGUAGAAUCGCCUCCAAGAGACUGGAGUAUGGAAGAGAAGGAGGUUGAGAUAUAUUAGUUCACCUCUUACCCUGUGGUUUGGCAGUCGCUCGUUCUCAACUUUAAAGCCACAACUCGGGUGCCCACUUUGUGCCUCUCACUGGUUCCUACACUCAGUGAAAGAUUGAAAGCAUGAAUGCAGAAAUGGAUGACUCAUCGAAUGCCAGUGUUGCUCAGUCUCUCUUUGAAACACCAAUAUCUGAAGAAACCCAAGCUGGCACUUUGGACUUGGUGGAGUGAUAUCAGCUUUGCCCAGGAGAAAAGCGACUCAAGCCAACCCUUCUGCAAAUCCUGCCAUCCUUGAACUUCUUGGGAUCAUUUCACGAUGGAUGUAAAUCCAGUCAUUAUGCUGUACACCUUAAACUUAUAUAACGCUGUAUGUUGAUUCCAUCUCAAUGAAACUGGAAGAAGAAGAAAAAAGACCAAAGCUAGAGGAGGAAAUAAUGUCAAGCUGAGAUGAGGACCAGACACUAAUAAAUCACCUGAGGAAAAGCAGUCCUUGGAUGUGGACAGCUAUACAUGUUCAAUCAGAUUGCUUUUCUUCUGAAAAAUAACCUCUCAUGUUGAAAAGUCAUCUAUCAUUAUUUCUUGAUAGUAAUAAUCUGAUUUCUUGAUGCUGGGAUUAGUUUUCACAGGUAUUAGAUUUGCCUUGUUACACAAGCUCAAAUUGCACUGUGGUUUGACUUAAUGUGAUAUAAGUAAUUGGUGUGGGCAUCUUCUCUUUUAAGGGUAAACCUUUUAGUUUGUUUGCAUAAAGACAAAUAGCAGUAGUAAACAGAGUUACUAUUUACUUUCUAUUUCAUUUUGUAAAAGUUUUAUUGAAAUAUAGUUUAUUUGCAGUAUUGUGUUAGUUUCCGGUAUAUGGUAAAGUGGUUUAUAUAUAUAUAUAUGUAUGAAAAUGAAAGUGUUAGUUAUUCAGUUGUGUCUGACUCUUUGCGACCCCAUGGACUAUAGCCCACCAGGCUCCUCUGUUCAUAGGAUAUUGUCUAUAUAUAUAUUAUAUAUAUAUAUUUUUUACAUUCUCUUCCUUUAUAGAUUAUUAUAGGAUAUUGAGUAUAGUUCCCUGUGAUAUGCAGUAGGUCCUUGUUGGUCUUCUAAUUUGUAUAUAGUAGUGUGUAUAUGUUAAUCCCAAACUCCUAAUUCAUCCCUCUGCCCCCCAGCCCUUUUAGUAAUCAUAAGUUUGUUUUCUCUGUCUGUGAGUCUGUUUCUGUUUUUCAAGUACGUUCAUUUGUAUCCUUUUUUUUAGAUUCCACGUGUAAG